RNAcentral lists this long non-coding RNA (2249 nucleotides) under Trifolium pratense (red clover). RNAcentral's name for it is "long non-coding RNA (TPRA_LNC013548)". The record is from RNAcentral. Lineage: Eukaryota; Viridiplantae; Streptophyta; Magnoliopsida; Fabales; Fabaceae.
ACCUCAAAAUGGUCAUUAGACUCACAUGCACUUUGGUUUAAGCCAUGGAAAACCAAAGUAAGACAUUCAUAAAUUUCAUCUUAUUUCUCUUCCUCUCUCACGCAAACCCUCCAUCUCUCCUAGUUUAAAUCCCAAUUUCCACUUCUUCUAGGUCGGAACAUGCAUGUCCAGGACUCUUAUGCAUAAAUAGUAGCUCAAGUUACUCAUGGAUUUUAGUCUCUUGGCCCAUGGGAUUAAGGUAAGUAAGUAUCUCCAACUCCUCUUAUGUUUUUAGAAUCAACCCUAAACCCCAAUCUUGAUAUUUCCAUUUAAAUAGGAUUCUUGGAGCAAUAAUACAGGUCUGAGAAGUAGUUUUGGAGCGCAAGAGGAAGAAGUACCUAAUUUUGGAAACUGGAGAGGUUUAAUGAAAGUAUUGGAAUUCACAUUGCUAAGCUUUCAAGAGUGUUAUUCACAUAUGGUGGGUUCCUUUAGGUUAUCACUACUACCUUGUUUAAGUUUUGGCCAAUUUAAGAUUGACUACUAAUUUUAAGUUAGAGAAACAAUGGAAAAUUGGAGUAAUAGCCUAAUAGACUAAUAGGUACCCAUUUUACUCUUUAUGAAAAUAAUGAAUAUUACUGGAUUAUGAUUAAUUAGUAAUUGUAGUGAGUUAGAUCCCUUUCCCUUACUUGGUACAAGGCUUAAAAUGAUAGAUUAAAAGUGAUUCUAAGUGUGUAUUUAGUUUAUAAAUGAAGCUAAGUGGAAGUUCGAGUAAUUUGGGACUGUAAUGCAAAAUUCUGCAGAUUUUCAUAGUGCAGCCCCUGUGUGUGGCACACACAUGGGGAAUUAUUUAUGAGUUUAAUUGUUGUGCACCGUCAGUGUAAUUUUGUUUUACACAUACAUCCAAUGACGUGUUGCCACAUCAUUUAAUGAAUGUGACACAUCAUGUGUUUUUAAUUACCAUACAUGAUGUGUCACUAUAUUAUUGGACGCAUGUGCAAAAUAACUUUAGACUUACGGUGCAUAUAAAAUAAAUUCAUUAUUUAUAUUCGCGGGGCGCAAUAGGCAGUAGCCCCACUUUUCCCAGUUUUGUGUUCCUGAGCGUUUUUAAGGUCCGGCAGGCAACCGAAACUAGUAAAUUAGUAUAGAAACAAUUUUAGGUGACUUAAUGCUUAGGAAUGAAAAUGUAAAUGAGUUGCGAUAUUGGUAGUUAGAUUACCUACAUAGUCGAAUAGUUAACUUACAUUAGCUUAUCUAGUUUAAAAAGUUUAAGAUUAGUAUUGGCAACUUAAACUCACUAGGUGGUAGUUUUGUAUUAACUAUUGGUAACAAUAUUAAGACAAUUACAAACUAUAAUUAGAGUAAUUAGACAAAUUGGUAAUAUGUGAACAGUUGAUCAAUAUACCCAAAUUCUGACGCAUACAUUAUUAUGUGCCGAUUAUAAUUACAUUUUUACUUGGUCAUUGAGACAUCACACGAACUUCGUAUUAUAGUUGAUCGUGUUGGUUGGAUUUCGCAUUAUAGGAAUCGAUAUGGUAAUUUAAUAAAUAUGUGAGGUAAUUUCCGCGUCCAAUUAUUAUAAUUACAAUUGGCCGGACAUGCUGGCGUCUGAGACUACUCACCUCAGGUCGUUCGGGUAAUAAAACGAACCAAGCUUUAUAAUUGUGUGACACAUUUUAUUACAUUGAAUUGAAGUACUAAUAAUACAUGUAUUUUAUACAUGACCGAUCAACUAGUAGGAUAAUCCCUUUAACCACUAACACCUUAGGUAUAGGUGGAACUCACUGAGGCUUAUGUCUCAACCCACUCUUUUAUAUAUUUUUUUCAGAUAACAGAUUGGAUAAGACAAGGGUAAGAAGAAGCAAAGGAUUGAAGCUGAAAGAUUACAUUAGUUUCUUCCUUGUUUUGUUAGAUUAAGUUGUUAUGUGUAUCUCAUUGGAUUAUUUCUGCUGUGUAAUGGAAAUUCAUUUCUCUGUAUCUAGUGAUGAAUUUAAGUACUUGUCAAUUUUCAAACAAGUUACUUUGUAAAUUUUAAUGUAUUCGGAUUCAAUUAUGUAUGUUCCUGUCGAUAUUCUAGACAAUUGAUAUGGGGCGUUAUAGAACAAUUUUCUCAUCUUAUAGUGGAAAAGGUUAUCAAAACCGGACCGGUUGGACCGUGAACCGGUCAUAAAAACGGUUCGGUUUUGAGCAAAAAACAGAUAGGAAACCGACCGACAAAAAAACGCGUGAACCGGGGUCGGACCGGGUCGAACCGGCGAACCGGCCGGUUCAAG